GGAGGAAAAGAAACCAACAGGGAUUGCCUCAGUAACGGCGAGUGAAGCGGCAAUAGCUCAAAUUUGAUAUCAGGCUCUUUGAGAGUCCGAGUUGUAAUUGGUAGAGGAUGUUUCGGCUUACGCCCCGGUCUAAGUUCCUUGGAACAGGACGUCACAGAGGGUGAGAAUCCCGUUUGUGGCCGGCGGCUUCUGCCAUGUGAAGCUCCUUCGACGAGUCGAGUUGUUUGGGAAUGCAGCUCUAAAUGGGAGGUAUAUUUCUUCUAAAGCUAAAUACCGGCCAGAGACCGAUAGCGCACAAGUAGAGUGAUCGAAAGAUGAAAAGCACUUUGGAAAGAGAGUUAAAAAGUACGUGAAAUUGUUGAAAGGGAAGCGCUUGCGACCAGACUUGCCCGCGGAUGCUCAACCGGUCCUUCGGCCGGUGCACUCUUCCGCGGUCAGGCCAGCAUCAGUUUAGGCGGUUGGAUAAAGGCCUUGGGAAUGUAUCUCCUCUAGGGGAGUGUUAUAGCCCUUGGUGCAAUACAACCUGCCUGGACUGAGGCCCGCGCUUCGGCUAGGA
RNAcentral lists this ribosomal RNA (556 nucleotides) under Acanthostigmina minuta. RNAcentral's name for it is "eukaryotic LSU rRNA". It matches the Rfam family "Eukaryotic large subunit ribosomal RNA", at positions 52 to 623 of the family's 3401-position model. The record is from RNAcentral. Lineage: Eukaryota; Fungi; Ascomycota; Dothideomycetes; Tubeufiales; Tubeufiaceae.